Taeniopygia guttata (zebra finch) is the source of this 11135-nucleotide non-coding RNA. The record is from RefSeq and is a predicted model, not a curated record. Lineage: Eukaryota; Metazoa; Chordata; Aves; Passeriformes; Estrildidae.
AUUCUCUGUUUUCUCUGGUGUGUAUAUCUUGCCAAUCCAUAACAGAUCUCCAGUUCUUCCUCUCCCAAGCUAUUACAGUUUCUGUGUAGGUCUAGAAUUAUGAGGUAGUUAUAACUAUGAACGUAUAGAAUCAUACAAUGGUUUGGGUGGAAAGGACCUUAAAGAUCCUCUAGAUCCAACCCUCCUGCCAUGAGUGGGGACACCUUCCACUAGACCAGGUUGCUCAAAGCCUGAUCCAGCCUGGCCUUGAACAAGGGGUAUAUAACCUGUCUUGAUAUACCUGGGAUGGACAACAACCAGUAUAAUUGUUUAACAGUCAGGGUUGGGAUUGAGUUUAGGGAUACCAGGUUCUGAAGUGAUUGAUUUAUUGGUGGAUUUUGCAAGUUUUGUAGGGGUAAGGUGGAAUUGUGUUCUGGUAAGGCAGAGUUAACUCUGGAUGUUGUUGUAAGAUCAGAGUUAUUUUUGGGCUGGGAGCAACAUGGCAUAAAACCUCAUGUUUUGUGAAAUACUGAGGUAUCCUGAGGAAGAAGGGGACAUUAAAGAGAGGUGAGCUGAAAUCAGAUAGGAAAUUGAAAUUAUUUUAGAUUUGCAUGUGUCACUUCAGCUCAAUUUACAUAUUUCCUUUAAACUAAAUUACCACCAUAAGUUAAUGGUAUUUUACAAUUAACAGUCCUUGUGCACUUAACCAACCAUCUGUAAAUGGAUGCAGAGGUCAUAUGCAAGCCACACAAAACACACUGAAUCUCUCCACUCUUGGUGCGGCAGAAGCUUUAGAAUAAUGCUUGUUUUGGACAAAAAAACAUAAUUGAGUUUUUCCUGCAUCCCUUAUGCAAGAGAAAAAUAAAGACAGGUUUGAAAGAAUGAAAUACAAGGCUUAAUAAAAUCCAUGUGGAGACUGAGAAAAAGCUCAGGUAGCUUGCUCCAGGGAUGGAUUUUGCCUGUUCUACAAUGAAUGGUGACUUUUCUACCUCUGCCUUUCUUCCUCUGAAAGAACAGUGCAAUUUCCUUUUUUCUUCCCAUGCUUUGUAGUGUAUAUAAUAUGAUUACAUUUCAUCAUACAAUGAGAUUCCACAUUGUUAUAAUUUCAUUCUGAUGUGGUUUGUUUUUUAAUCACAUCCCUUUACCUUUUCUAAAUCAAUAUCCAAUCACUGUUGCUUCAAGGGAAAAAAUAUCAAUUCAUUAAGACUUGCCUGAAAGAAGAGUAUGAGCUUUAUCUCAGUAAUGUGCAUGACAGUUUAAUUAAUAAUUUAGAUAUUUUUCAUUAUUUUCCACCUCUUAUUCAAUGGAAAUAUCAUUUUGGAGUUGACAUAGAGCAAAGUAGCAGGACUAAACCAGAAAACCCAGUUAUGAAACACUUUUUCCAGGGUUCCUGUCUAAACAGUUAAUUCUCCCAUUCUUGAGAAGGUCAAUCUUACUGCUGCUAACUUGGCAAUCACCAACACAUGUUUUUUUCAUGGCUUGUACCAGUCUUUUUCAGUUCUUGUAUAAGAGAUGUCUCAGUAUUCUGAACUACCACAACUGUUGAAAUAGUGGUGUUUGGCUUUAUCCUCAUCUGUUUUCUGUGCAUAAAUAGAUGUUUUCAGCUAUCCAAUGGGAGAAGGAUUUUUUCCUUCUAUACUCAAAGUGGACCCAGUGUCCUUCAAGUAGUACACAGGUAAGGGAUGGGGGGCAAUGGAUACAAGCUGCAUUAAGAAAAAUUUAAUUGACAUUAGGGAAAAAAAUUGUAGGCAAUCAGAUAUUGGAAGAUGUUGCCUCAAGAGAGUGUGAAAGAUGUUUGAAGACACUCUGAACUCAAUUGGUUAAGGCCCUGAGCUACUUUAUCUAAUGGUAAAGAUUCUCCUGUUGCAUGCUCAGUCCAGAUGACCUCCUUAGGUCCUUUUCAAGUUAAAUUAGUGUAUGAUACUCACCAAGAAGUAAUCAAGAUGCCUGUGCUGACUAUGAACUGACCUUAUCAGGCAGUAUUGCCCCUAUUUCAGUCAGCAAAUUACUUUACCUGAUAAGUGUGCAGCAUUUUCUAAGUGUAGAGCUGUAGCACAGUAAGGCUGUCAAAGUUGAUGUAAGUGGUCCCUAUCUCCUUAGUCAUUGCCAAUAACGUGCAAAUUAGUGUCUUUAUCCUACCACAUCUGUUUUCUGCAACUCACUGGGGAGGGAACUGAUAAGGAUGGUAAUUUUUUUCAGCUGGAUGAAUCUAGUCUGUACUGUCACAUAUUUGUAGGAAUAAACCAGGAAGAUUCAGCUUGAGACUAGUGAAAAAGCUCAGUCCUUCAUCUUAUGAAAAUACCAAAGAAUUCAGUAAAGCCUCCUUGCCAUAGUUUCCCUCUGCUUUAGAAAUUGCCUUUUUCACAUGGAGAUUUUUUAUGUAGCAGUAGAACCCAGGUUAGCAACAGGAAUGAUUCAUGUCUUCUGGUCAUUUUCUGCAAAGUUUAGUUCCAUCUUCUAAAAGACAAGAAAAAUAAGGAGACUGAAGACUUUGUAACAGUCGAGGCCAUUUCACAUAUGUGUUUGCAGAAAUAAAAUUAUAAGGCUUCAGGGAUCAGUCUAACCAAAUAUAAAAUUAUGUGCAUUGGUACAUGUUUCCAUUUAAAACUAGGAAUAAUUUUUAAAAAUGAAACUAGGUGGAAAUAAAAUAGUAAUGGGUUGAUCACUAUAUGCUGUAAAUUCUUGAAGCAUAGCCUAAUGUGUAAGCAACCAUAACCUUUGGGGAAAAGAAAAUAGGGCACUCAAGGCUUUCUUGCCCUUGUCUUAGUUUUGUGGUUUGGCAGUGGGGAGAAGCUGUAGAGAGAAAAUAUUGUAAGCUGAGUCCACGCAUUUAUUUUUAGUUUUAUAUGAGGAAUUUACUAAUGGCAAAAUGUCCUUGAGGUUAGGAAGAGGGGUUUUUUUCCUUGGCACAGAUAAGUUUCUGCAUUCCAAUUUUGUUGUGAUAUGCUCUUUCCAAUUAAUAAUAAAGCAUUUUGAGAGGAAACAAGGAAAAGCAAUGAGACUGGGGAGGCCAAGUUAUUAACCCAGUGUUAUUUUGCCCUUAUAAGCAACAAUUAUAGUCUAGAGCACACAGGUGCCAUUAAGUUUAUCCCUUAGACCAGAGCCAAUUCCUUUCUCCUACAGAUUUACUCUCAUAUAUACUCUGUGAGUUCAACUUAGUUCAAAAUCCAAAAACUUGCAGGAAAGUGCUGACAGGAUGACCAGGGAAUGGAGAAUCACUUUUAGAACAAGUUAAAAGAAACAGGCUUGUUCAGGCAGCAAGAGAAGGUCUGACAGCAGAGUAGAAAUAUAUCCAGGGUAAAAGCUAGGACUCAGGAGUUAAAAACAAAUGGUAAAAGAUGAGUCAGAUGUAUUCAUUUUUCCAUGGGUAAAGCUAGAAUUAGACUCUAGGAGAAGGUUCCUGGCCUUCAGAAGGGCAUAGGCUUUGGGAGGAAUUUGCUGAAGGUGAAAUAGCUUGGUUGACUCCAUUAGAAGACACUGAUCUUGAUUCAUAUCCAGGGGAUAUUAAUGGAUUCUUAAUCCAUAUCCAGGGGAACUACAGAUGGGGUAUGGAGCUAUGUGUGGCUUUUCUUACCUCUCUCCAGAAUCUUUUGCAGUUUAAAGCAGAUUCAGUCACUAUGAGAGGUUUUUCUUGCCUUUGAUACACAGAUGAUUAUUUGUCCUGAGGAGAAUGUGAUUUAAGCCCUAAAAUGCCCUUCACAGGUGAUACAAAAUGCAAAAUUGUAUUUUGUUUUGACAGAAAGCUUUUCAGGAGGUUCAUUUGACUAAAUCAGUCAUUAUCUCUAGACCUAAGAUAAUUUCCUAUUUUUUUCCUGAAAAUUCCAAAUUGCUUUUAAAGUAUUUUAACAAUAUAGCGCGAAUACUAUUUGUCAGUCUCAUUGAGACUGAGUUUGUGCAAGUUUCUGAGUUUGUAAUUUUUGUUAUCCUCUUUUCCUUCUUGUUUCCUGAUCUUUCAAUGGGAGAGUAUGUUUCCCUGGAUGUACUAUUAGAAUGACUUCUUCUACUUUUAAGCUGAUUUUGAAUUGAUGAAAGUGGUCAUAUCAUUGUUUCUCUUGCAGUAGCUUUUCCUGGAAUGUAGCUUGCUACCUUUUGAUUAAUUUCUUUAUCUCCUGGGAUGCAAAUAUGCAUUUGUGAACUUUGUAUUGAAACCCUGUCACGAACUUGAUCUUUCUUCUGAUUUCUAAUCCUUAAUUAAGCAUAUUGACAUAUUGUUAGUAGGGAUGAUAGCCUCCUGUGGAAUAGCCAGCAACAGCACUGAUUCUGCUGUUAUAUUUAUUUAUGAGACAUCACAGUACAUGGGAUUAUCACUUUGUUCAUUGAAAUCUUUGUAAGUCAGGAGGAAUUGAUCUCUUUCUAUGCAGAGAAAUCGUACUAUUCCCAUUCUGAUUCAGAGAGAAUCUGGCUCAGAAGUAGGUAGGGUUGACCUCAAAAGUUUGGAGAAAAUUAGUAGGUGAACUUGGUAUGUUUUUUAGAGGUCUUCAAGAGAAAUGAAACACACCAGGGCAGAUUCUCAGCUGGUGUAAAUUGCCAUCACUCCACUAAGGUGGAUAUAGCCAAAGCAGUUUAACCAACUGACAGUCCCUCAGGUGUGCAUUUCUUUCUUGUUUUGCUGCUGGUUUUGAGAUGAGAGGACUCCAAGUGAACCUUUGGACCAAAUUAUUCUUUUGAGGCUGGAGCAGGUCACAGAUAAAAUAAGAGUACAGAUCAAAUCUAAGCUUUUUCCACAUGAGUUAAACCCUAAUAAUGGCUUCAUGCAUUCUCAGAAUUUGAUUCCCUGCAGCCUUUCUCCUGCUUCUGCCUGACCCUGAUCUGGAAUUAAAUUGUUAUCAGAAUCACUGUAGCAUAUGUUGUAUUACUGUGUAUAUCAAAUAAAAGUUGGAAACUUGGCAUAUUCAAGACUGGGAAUAAUCUUGUCUACCACAGAGCACUUUCUGAGAGCCAGCAGUUCAUCCAGUGGAAGCACCAGCAUCUCCCAAAUGCUCCUGCAAUCAGGACUGCAUCUUAAUAUUAAUAAAGCAGGGAAGAAUUAAGGCAACAUAUGCUGUAACUGUGCAGUCUGCAAGUGAGCUAAUGCCUUCUAAGAGUCCUGAUCAGAUUUCCUGAUAAAGGAGCAAUGCUGUGCUUUGUCAGGUGACUGCCUCCUCAUUAUUCAACAUGGCAUUGUGGGGUUUGUGGUAUACUUUGUUUUCUUUGAAACAUAAAGAUGGGUAUUUUUUUUUCAUAAAAGUGAAGCCACCAAAACCAAGCAUAAUUAUUUUUGUCUUUGCUGGAAAACAUUUUAAAAAUGAUGCUGCAAACCCCUCAAAUGUAAGUCUUAAUUAUAUGGAUUCUGUCAAAACUGUUCUAUUUGCCAAAAAAAAAAAAAAAAGGUGACUUUUGGUUAAAUUAAAUUAGCUUUUACAAACAUUUUUUUAAAAGUUCAUACUUUAAUGUUUUUUCAUGUAAAUAAUUUAUAAAACUUAAAUACGUACCUGACUUAAUACCCUGUUUCUCCACUUGGUGUGAGAAAUGUUUCAGUGAGUGCAGUUCUCUAUUUGCAGCAGGGCAGUCUGAACCUCAGAUGUGUUGGUGAGCUGCUUCCUUCUGGUAAUUGCAUUUUGUAGGGGCAGGGCAGCUCUGUGUACAAACCCCACAACAGGUAAAGCCAAAAUAUCAUUCAAGAGCAUGUGACAACAUGAUUUCACCAGGUCCUGCUGAAUUUUGGGAGGAAAGAUGUUGAAAUUCCAGGUUGGUCCUUAAAGGCCCAAACCCGUCUAUGCCCCAUCUCCCUUCCUUGAUCACAUGCACAUGACAGGUGUGUUCAGUAGCAUAAUGAAGUUAAAUGUUUUUAAUUUUAGCCACAGUUCAGUGGUGGGUUUUGCCCCAGGGACACAGAGUCUAUGUGUGUGUACAUGCUUGUUUCCUGCUGGGUCUGAUAGCAGGACAGGGCUUAGUUCCUUUCCUGCUCAAGCAGAGAAAUUACUCUGUAAAAUUAAUCAGACAGUUUUUAUUGUGAGAUUAAUGUAUGAAUUAACUAUUCAGUGUGAUCUGUUUUUUAGUAAAUGCAUUUAUUUACCUUUAUUUCUGUUUUUUAUACUCUUCUAUUAGAAUAUAAUAUUUUAUUAGAAGUAUUUACUCUAUGUAUUAAAGUACUCUUCUGUUAAAGUGAGAAGCUAUGCAGUAUAGCCAUCCAAUAAUAGCUAUUAAUUAUUCUGUAAAGUAAAGCUAUGGGCAGGAAUGUUGUUUGCGGACAUGUGGUGAGAAUGUUAUAAGAAAUAGAAACUUUGUGUUAUACAGUGAAGUAAGGCUUUUUUUCCUCUAUAAAUUGGGUUUUGAAAAAAUUUCCUUGGGGUUUGGUUUAGUUUAGAACAGAUAAUUGUAGAAAUAUAAUUUUUAAGGUAUUCUACUUUAAUAUUAAUAAAUUGAUACAAUGCUGGUGUAACCAUUCAUUUUUCACAAGUUAACUUUGACAUCAGUGAAAGAAAAGCUUCUUUAUUCUUUCUUUGUAAUUACAGUGAUCACACUAUUUUAUCUUUCCUGUAUUGUGAGCGUUUAAGCACUGAACAGCUUGUUUCAGCCUUUGAAAAUUCAAGCCUUAAUGAAAUAUUUAAGUACAAUCACUUUUAGUUCUUGCUGAAUAGAAAAUAAUUAAAGUGCAGAACAAAACCAUAUUUUCCCUCCGACUUCCUAGUAAUUAGUCUUUACCUUCCUUUUGAACCACCAAUGUUCUGCCUCUUUGUUCUUAGAAUUUAACAACAUUUUCAGUGCUUUGCUAAAAAUUGCAAAUUGACACAGGCCUAGUUUCUUCAUAGUUUUUGCAUUUUAGGAAUAUAGCAUUAAGGAAUAAUUUAACAUGCUUUUCUCCUUUGUAAACCAUGCAAUUUAAACUACAACAGAGGUUUUCUUCUGUUAACACUUGAAUAUGCUUGUAUUUUAUGUUGAAAUCAAGAGGCUGUCUUCAUGAGGGCUGAGCACUAGAAGUUUUGUGAUGUACACUAGUGGAAAGGUUUAUAUACUGAAGUGAAUAAAGAACCUGGAGAUCAGACAGAAAUCUGUGGAUUUAUAGGAUAAAAUCUUAGGAAAACUGCAUACAUCCAAACAUCUGAAAAGCAAACUUUCUCAGAUUCUGUUUCUUUGACCUAGUUUGUCCUUGGAUAUUUAGAUACAAAUCCACCUCCCAAAGUCAGCAUAAGGCAAAAUUAAAUUGAGUGGGAACAGACUGAGCAGUCAGAAAUAUGAAAUUUGCUCUGAGAUAAAGUAUCCUCAUAGGAGUGCUCCUUCCUUGGGCUAUGGACACUGUAAAUUUACCUGGCAAUGCCAGCUGACUGAAAUGGUCCCUUGGUAUUUCUUCUGGAGGCUUCCCUUGUGGCUUAGGAGCUCAGCUUAGGCUUCAUUAAAUGCCCUGACACAGAAGGAUAAGAGCUGAUCCAUGCUUUGAUCAACGCUGAUCAGUGUUGGCAUUAAUCCACAGGCACUUCUAACAAAAAAAGUUCUAUUUUCUCUGAUGCUGUUCUGACUCAUUACAGUUAAUGGCCUUUCCUGAGAAAUGCAGCAGCAUUUAUUAAGAAAUGAGGUGAGGACUCGGAAAUGAACCAGAGGAGGGCUGGCUAUGCUUUGAAACUUCUGUAGUAUUUACAUAGUUACACACGCACGCAGCCUGUCUUGUGCUCUGGGUGAAUUUAUUUUUAAAAACUCUCCUAUGCAGCUGCUUCUCUGUCCUUCAGCACAGAGUGGGUGUUCUGGCCUCACUCUGCAGCAGAUCACACAGUGAUUGGCUAAAUGCCAUGGCAGACCAAGGACUUGAAGCUGAGUUUGUGCUCCUCCAGCCUGGAGAAGAGGAGAAGGAGAGGAGACCUCAUUGCAGACUGCAAUCUCCUUGAGGGGAAGAGGAGGGGCAGGUGCUGAUCUCUGCUCUGUGAGAAGAGUGACUUACUGGACCCAAGGGACUGGUGGCCUGCACAUGUGUCAGGGGAGGUUUAAGUUGGAUAUUAGUAAAAUGUUUAUGUUGGAUAUUAGUAAAUGGUUCUUCACCAAGAGGGUGAUUGGGCAAUGAAACUGGCUCCCUGUGAAAUGGUCACAGACCAAGCCUUGACAGAGACAAGAAGCAUUUGGUCAAUGCUGUCAGGCACAUGGUGUGAUGCUUGGGGAUGGUGCUGUGCAGGGUAGGGAGGUGGACUUGAUGGUCAUUGUGGGUCCCUUCUAACUCAGCACAUUCUGUGAUUCUGUCAUCUGUAUGGCAAAUAUCAAUGUACUUUGCUCAAAGUUUGAGCCAGGGGCACUGGAGAAACUGAGAAAUCGCUAUGAUAACUGUGUCCCACUGGAGGGCUCCCCAGCACUUGCAGUAAUCCUCCUCUUUAAUGGCUAUCUCAGUUCUAGGGCUGUCUCUUCUCUGCAGUGCAGUGCAUUGCAGAGCUGCUCCCCUGCAGAAGAAAUGGGUUUAGAGAUGGGUAUGUGUGUGCAUUCAAGACUCAGUCCUGCACUCUAUGGGUAUUUUUAAUCACUGCCCUCAGUAUUGGUAUCAAGAAACUGAUGCGCUAAAUCACCUCAGAAUUUAGUAUUACUCUUAUUUUGAAUUUUGUUUUGAUUCCUCAGUGAGGUUGGCUAAAUAUCUUCACUGCUUCUUAACUGAUUACAGUUUUAGAAUUGUAAGGGCAGUUAUUUUGGAAUUGUUCCCUUUAUUGUUCUUCAAUUUUCAAUAGAAGCCUUCAGUACAAUCCAAAUACUUAGAAGUACUCCAAAGGGAAAGUGGCUACACAGCUACACUUGAAGUUGACUGCUUUAUUCUUUCUCAGCUGUUUUGCUUUAAUUUCAUUUGAAGUUAAAAUAAAAUAAUUGUUCAAUUUAAUUUAUGAACAGUUUUUAAUUUUCUGUUGAGAUUUCAGGUGGUUGUUGAGUCUUGAGAGUCAAGUGCUUUAGAAGGAUACUAUUACUAGAAAGCUUCAGUGAUCUCAGAGAAAAGUGUAUGAAAGUGAGUUAGUGAUCUGUUUUGUGUGUAGCAAUGCAAUAGCUUUCUACAGUUCUCCAUUUCAUCUGAAAUGAGUUAGAUGAGGCAGGAUGUGUUGGGAAAAAAAUCAUUAAUUAUAAAUGAACUUUUGUGAUUAUUGUAACAGAUGCUCUUAAAAGUGUUAAUUAUUGUCAAUUUAACGUCUUUACAUUUUUUCAGACUGCACUUUAUACUAGCUUACCUUGAAAUUUAGCUGAUGUGCCUGGUUACUUUUGGACUCAUGAUUGUCUUUUUCCUGCAUCAGCUGCAGUGUUUCAAAAGUCUCAAAUUUUUAGUUGGAUGCAAAAAUUCACUUCUUCAAGGAAGUUCUUAGGUCAUCUUUGCUCUUGUCUUUUAGAGAUCACCUGAGCCUGUCUUACUGACUGUUAGAUGAUGGAUGAGAGACUUCUGGGGCUGUUGACUCUAAAUCAUGAUUCUAUCCCAUAGAAGUUCACAACUAUGAUUUGCCUGCUGAAUCUGUUGCCUGUUGUCUCUGAACAUCUCAUGAUACCAUUCUUUAGAGGGACAGUAGGACAUCUUCUUUGGGAUCACACAGGCAGUAAGCACACAGCUGGAAGUUGAACAUUUCUUGCUCCCAGCCCUAUGUUACAUUCUUGUCCCUGCUGGCAAGAGUGCCAUGUAUAUACAUAAGUAGAGAAAUCCUGGUAAGCUAUUUAAAUCUAAUUAUCUGUGACUUUUAAUCUUACAUAUAUUUCUCUGAAAUUAACAAGGUAUUCAAAAAUUUGCAUUCUUUUAUAAAGCUGUUUGUUCUUUAUAUGUCUAAAUUUCUCCUUUUUUGUUUUUGAAUAAGCUUGAUUAAAAUGUUGAUUAUGUCAAGAAACAUUUCUGCAUUUUCUAGUUAUAUAUCAAGUGAUGAGACUACUGAAAGAGUUUCUCUGCAAAAGUGAAAAUAUGAGGUUUUUUUGAAUUUUUUUUCCAUGGUUAUUAAAAAUUAAGCAAAACAUACAUCUGUUUUUAUCCAUGGUUUAUUACUCAUCUUUUAAUGAGAGAAUUAAGAUAAUAAUUCUUGAAAUUUUUAAAGAUCUACCUAGAGGGAAUGCUUGAAUCAUGCGUGUUUUAUAUGGAGUGCUUCAUGGGUCCUUCUGGUUUUAUUCGUAUGAGUUAUAAUAUGGGAACUGAAGUGUGACCCUAUCCAAAGCUUGUGGGUUUUUGGAUCUCCAUUUACAUCUUAGGACCGUUGGUUUUACCUGAAGAAUGUUGUUGCUUCUUCAGAGGACAUAGAAAUAGAUGCUUAGAUGAGUUCAGCCUAUGUGUGCAGGCAGAAUCUGACCAUGUGGAUAAAUAUGUCAAAGUACACUUGCUCCUACCCUGUAAUUCUUAACUGGGGAUGAAUGAAAAUUACUCUGAUGGAUGACUGAUCAUGUUUCUCUGACUAGAUUGUAUCUUGUUCACCAACAUUUUAGCUCUUAAUAGGGUCUGAUAUUGUAAAAAAAAAAAAUCUUAUUGGAGUUUGAUUUUAUAGGAAGACAUGGUUACAUCUCCAUUUAUUUUUUGACAUUGUUAAAGCAGAGAGUUGGUCCAACUGUGACUCUAUCAGCUGUGAACAGUGCUCUUUGCCUUUGGCCAAAUUUUAGUCUCCUAAUGUUUUCGCUUUGCCUGGAGUGAGUCACUGUGACAAACAAAUCCCUGAAAAUAAGAACAUAUAAUGAAAAAGCUGACAAGACCCUUAACAAUAGCAGAGCCAUGGGCUUUGGUAUAAACAACAUAAAAACAGAGUGAGUUUGAUUGUCAUCCUGGAAUUUCCCUCUUUUGUUGUAUUUCUUGUCCAAUUGCCUGCAUGACCAUUUCACAGCAGUACCUCCUGGCAUAUUCCAAAAGCUGUGGUUAUUCAUUGACAGGCUCUUGCCAUAACCCAGCAAUAAAAUGUACAUUGGGAUGGUAACUGUUCUUUCCUUUAAAAUAGAGUAAAUAUAGAAAACCAAAGCUGGCUAUGGGAUAAAGUAGUAGUUAAAUCAAGCCUAAACAACUAGAUCUCUGUGAUGUGUUGGGAUAUUGGGGCUUGUUGGCAUGGGAGGCUGUGAGAAUGCCUAGCUGUGUGCUAGUGAGACACCGUGUGAUGCUUAAAGAUAAACACAAUCCCUUCUCCUCUUCAUCUCCAUGUCUUAUUUGAAAUGAAAAGACGCUGGAUGCAAUGUCCGUGGUACAACUCAAAGACAGUCUUAGUCCCCAAACA